UCCAUUCUUUUGUUUUGUUUUUGUUACGGCCGUGGGCCGUCUGGGUUUGGCUCCUUUGUCUGUCCUCUCUUUCGUUCUUCCAGGCACAGGUGCAGUGCUUCACAUAAUUGCAAAACACAGAAUAAAAGCCCCGCCGUGACUCCUCGAGAGCGGCACCCUUUGGACGUCCUGGGAACUUCUUACCCCGCAGGGUUUCCGCCGCCGCUGCUCCUCGGUUUCCUGCUGGCCUCCUGGCUUCCUGUUUCCGGUUUUCGGCUGAUGCUGCCGCUGUCUGACGUCGCCACCUCCUCUCUCCUGGAUGUCCCUGGUUUUGGUCCGAUGGGCGGUUGGAACAUAAAAUAAAACGUUUCUAAACCUUCAAACUCUGCCCAUCCACCUACAGCAAUAUGGGCCACCUGGUCUCAGCCUUAUGAGCGGAGUGAUGACCUCACUCCCUGAACAGCGCAGUGCAGACCAACACAAGCCUGCUGCCAUUUUCCUGGCUGCUCUUCUCCAUGUUUCGCCCCCUGAUGGUGAAGUAUAGAUCUCCAACAUAAUGAGGUCAUUUUCCCACCUCCUUUUGCUGGACAGCGCUUGGGACAAGCCUUAGCGACCCCCUGACCCCGUCAUGGAAUCAGCAGCUUAAGAAAAUAAAAUACAUUUUCAUUUCUAUCAAUUAUUUAUUCGUCUUUGUUUUUGCCAAACUUCUUGGGUUUUGCACAUUUUAAAAUUCAGUUAAGUCAUAAUCUUGGUUCUUUUUAUUAGACUUUUUAUAAUACUUAAAGUUGCUUUGAAGUUUUUGCCAUCCUGCUGCGACCGCCUGCAUUUGGAUCCUCCAGCUCCACCAUCCCUGACAGCAGUGACGUGCUGUGAGCCACUUAUUCCUUUGGGAUCACAUUUAAAAAUUCAGGAACUAAGGAGUAUUUUCUUCACUAUUCAUUUCUUAAGAGCACCCCUGUUUCUUCCCGUACAAGAAAAAAGGGAACAUUUCAUCAAAAUUUAGUUUUUGGAUUUCAGAUCAUUUCACUGUGUAUUCUAAUUAUUUAUUGUAAAUUUAGAUCUAUUUUUGAAUACAUUUCUCUUACUCCACAUAAAAAAAACUUUUUAUUUUUGAUUUCAGCAGCAACAUCUGGCUGAGAGGUUGCUGCUGCUCAUUUUUCCUUCUUAGCGUUGAGCUAUUGUAAAAAUAAAUCUGUUUU
Oryzias melastigma (Indian medaka) is the source of this 1178-nucleotide long non-coding RNA. RefSeq lists it as uncharacterized. The transcript has 3 exons. NCBI's taxonomy places the organism in Eukaryota, Metazoa, Chordata, Actinopteri, Beloniformes, Adrianichthyidae. The record is from RefSeq and is a predicted model, not a curated record.